UACGUAGGGCGCAAGCGUUAUCCGGAAUUAUUGGGCGUAAAGAGCUCGUAGGCGGUUUGUCGCGUCUGCCGUGAAAGUCUGGGGCUCAACUCCGGAUCUGCGGUGGGUACGGGCAGACUAGAGUGAUGUAGGGGAGACUGGAAUUCCUGGUGUAGCGGUGAAAUGCGCAGAUAUCAGGAGGAACACCGAUGGCGAAGGCAGGUCUCUGGGCAUUAACUGACGCUGAGGAGCGAAAGCAUGGGGAGCGAACAGG
Molecule: ribosomal RNA, 253 nt
Filed under: uncultured bacterium
Lineage: Bacteria
Description: partial 16S ribosomal RNA
Rfam family: Bacterial small subunit ribosomal RNA
Source: RNAcentral